Molecule: ribosomal RNA, 433 nt
Filed under: uncultured bacterium
Lineage: Bacteria
Description: partial 16S ribosomal RNA
Rfam family: Bacterial small subunit ribosomal RNA
Source: RNAcentral
AACGAACGCUGGCGGCAUGCCUAACACAUGCAAGUCGAACGAGACCUUCGGGUCUAGUGGCGCACGGGUGCGUAACGCGUGGGAACCUGCCCUUAGGUUCGGAAUAACUCCCCGAAAGGGGUGCUAAUACCGGAUAAUGUCUUCGGACCAAAGAUUUAUCGCCUUUGGAUGGGCCCGCGUUGGAUUAGCUAGUUGGUAGGGUAAAAGCCUACCAAGGCGACGAUCCAUAGCUGGUCUGAGAGGAUGAUCAGCCACACUGGGACUGAGACACGGCCCAGACUCCUACGGGAGGAAGCAGUGGGGAAUAUUGGACAAUGGGCGAAAGCCUGAUACAGCAAUGCCGCGUGAGUGAUGAAGGCCUUAGGGUUGUAAAGCUCUUUUACCAGGGAUGAUAAUGACAGUACCGGGAGAAUAAGCUCCGGCUAACUCCGUG